This is a long non-coding RNA of Bicyclus anynana (squinting bush brown), 692 nucleotides long. RefSeq lists it as uncharacterized. NCBI's taxonomy places the organism in Eukaryota, Metazoa, Arthropoda, Insecta, Lepidoptera, Nymphalidae. The record is from RefSeq and is a predicted model, not a curated record. The transcript is spliced from 2 exons.
ACAACUUAUUUUAGAUGUGAUGCUCGUACGAGGUACGUUUUUCUGAAGUCUUAAUUUACAUCGAAUCCCAACACUUCUUUGUAUAGUUUGUAUAGUUCUCCGUUAUGGUCGAAGGCCUCAAGGACACUUGUCAUGUAUAAAUUCCGAUCAAAUAAUAAAAAUUUAACAGUACGAUUGUGAAACCUAAGGGUGGAAGUAGCCUUAACCUCACUGCAAAUUUUGUGGAUUUCAAAUAAAAAUGUUUGCCAAAUUGGUGUUCCUUUUCGCCAUCAUUGCAGUAGCCCUGGCCAGGCCACAGCUGUACUCCGGCUAUGGGUACAGCGGGUACCCUGGUGCCUACCCUGGAUACGGGGGUUAUUCGGGUUACUCUAACCCCCUGUCCUACGGCGGUUAUGGGGGCUACUCGAGCUAUCCAUACAACUAUGGCAGUUACGGGGCUUACUGAUUUCAAUAGCGUUUAGUUUAUGAUUUACUAAUAAGUUCAAUUCGAUGUAAAACUUUUUUUUUUAUGUUGAGGUAUUUUGUAAUAUGAGUUAUAAAGUCAUGAACACACGUGUAUGCGAUGUCGCUGCUAAUUCAACGACGCCAUUCUUCUAUAGUCUAUGUGUGCGAGCCUUUAACGCACGAUAGUAAGGGAUUUUUUUUUUAAUUUUUGUUUUGUACAAUAUUUAAAAUAUAGUAUGUUACCAAAA